CGCGUAGGCGGCUAUUUAAGUCUGAUGUGAAAUCCCCGGGCUCAACCUGGGAAUGGCAUCGGAUACUGGGUAGCUAGAGUGCAGUAGAGGAAGGUGGAAUUCCAGGUGUAGCGGUGAAAUGCGUAGAGAUCUGGAGGAACACCAGUGGCGAAGGCGGCCUUCUGGACUGACACUGACGCUGAGGUGCGAAAGCGUGGAGAUCAAACA
Molecule: ribosomal RNA, 207 nt
Filed under: uncultured bacterium
Lineage: Bacteria
Description: partial 16S ribosomal RNA
Rfam family: Bacterial small subunit ribosomal RNA
Source: RNAcentral